GCUGAGCUUAGUAAUGUGGGCUUGUAACCCAAAUGGGGGCAUUAAUGUGGUGGAAUGUUGGGCUGUCCCAGAUGGUUGGGCUUUGGUGGGCUAAUUUCUGGCUUGCCCUAUCCAAGCUCAGAGUUGGAUCACGUGGCCCAAUUGAAGAAAUGGGCUGCUGGAUUCCGAAAGUGGGGUGGACUGCGUGAGGCUGGUUUCACAGAGCAACGAACAGCUCCUGCUCUGAGCAGUGGAAGGAUAACGAGCCGGUGCUUUCUAAGUCCAAUAACGCCUGAUGGGCUGCUCCAAUUAAACCACCAUUUUU
RNAcentral lists this signal recognition particle RNA (304 nucleotides) under Solanum tuberosum (potato). Its description in RNAcentral is "SRP RNA Plant_SRP". It matches the Rfam family "Plant signal recognition particle RNA". Lineage: Eukaryota; Viridiplantae; Streptophyta; Magnoliopsida; Solanales; Solanaceae. The record is from Rfam by way of RNAcentral.